Molecule: long non-coding RNA, 1104 nt
Organism: Cyanistes caeruleus (blue tit)
Lineage: Eukaryota; Metazoa; Chordata; Aves; Passeriformes; Paridae
Source: RefSeq, a predicted model, not a curated record
CAGUGAUGAUUUGCCAGCUCAUGGUGCCUGACGCACGGCCGAGCCGUGCUGUGCUGGCGUUAGCUGGCUUUACACCUGCUGCAUAAUUGCGCUCUCGCUCGCUUCAAGAUCGGGCAUGUGAGCUUCAGGCUGGGAACAGCUCCACUGGAGCAAAAAAUCCGGUUAAAGGGAGAAGCAGAGCGGGCGGUGAGCUGCUGAGUCACUCCCCAGCCCUCCUCGGGUAGCCUGACACCAAGGCAGAGGAUCAAAGCUUUAGGCCGGGGUCUAAGAUCGUCUGUCCAAGGGGAAAAAGCUCCACGUGUGUCCAAAGCCUAGAGAAGUCAGUGGAAAUACUCCCAUCCACUGUGACUCAGGUGCUCAGAGAGAACAUUCUUGGAUCUCUUCUUCUGAUCAGAGCUGGGAGGAUUUUCUGGCAAGGCCUGUUUCACUGCCUUUUCACCUGGAUCCAGGGCAACAAAGAGACCAGUGCUGUUUGCCACCUCCAUUUCUCUGAAAGGUGUAAGACAGAGAACACAAAGGUGUUGGCCAAGAUGAAAGAAGGACUCCUGUUGUUGGAUCCCUUGUUUAUUGUUGGGCUCACAGGUGCUGCUACAUGAUUGUGCUUUUUCACCAGGGAGAAUCCCACUGCUCCAAGUGAGUUGAACCAGAAUUUCAUUUUGCUGAACUGGCCUGAUUUGGGAUGCAAACCACCUCUGAAAGGCUGAGAUUUCCCAUGGGAGCGGAAAUUUUCCGAAUUUUGCUCAUCUCUGGUUACUGCUUGCACAGAAAUGGCCUAAAGCAAACAAACAGCCCUCUCCUGGAGCAGCCAGCAGAGCAGCCUGGAAAGUAGGUUAAUUUGGAUGGGGUUCCUGGGUGGCAGCUCCUCGUCCUCUCUCCUGCCUGGGGAAACCUGUGCAGUGAUCAGAUCUGCAGACAGGGCAGUGACAAGCCUCCCUUCAAGGCAAAAAUAAACUUGCAGGUUUAUAAACUCAGAGAUCCUUCCCUACAGGAAUCAUUCCCACCCCAGGGCAGGCUGGUGUGGCUCGACACAGCUCUGCUGGCCUCAACAGAGCACCCCAGGAAAAGGAUCACCUCAUUCUAGAUGUGAAAAUAUUCCAUUUUAGA